Molecule: ribosomal RNA, 422 nt
Filed under: uncultured archaeon
Lineage: Archaea
Description: partial 16S ribosomal RNA
Rfam family: Archaeal small subunit ribosomal RNA
Source: RNAcentral
CUACGGGAGGCUGCAGUUAGGAAUAAUCUACAAUGCGCGCAAGCGUGAUAGUUUGAGCCAGAGUGUUUUUCUAUUUGAAAAGCUUUUGCCGAAUGUAAAAAGUUCGGCGAAUAAGGACUGGGUAAGACGAGUGCCAGCCGCCGCGGUAAUACUCGCGGUCCAAGUCGCAGCCAUUUUUAUUGGGUCUAAAACAUCCGUAGCUUGCUUGAUAAGUUUCCUGUGAAAUCCGGCUUCUUAAGAGUUGGGCGGGCAGGAAGUACUGUUAAGCUAGAGACUGGGAGACGUAAGAAGUACGUUUAAAGUAACGGUAAAAUGUGCUAAUCUUAAACGGACUCACAACAGCGAAGGCAUCUUACGAGAACAGUUCUGACAGUCAGGGAUGAAGGCUAGGGGCGCAAAACGGGUUAGAUACCCCAGUAGUC